UGGGGAAUCUUGCGCAAUGGGCGAAAGCCUGACGCAGCGACGCCGCGUGCGGGAGGAAGCUCUUCGGGGUGUAAACCGCUGUCAGAGGGGAAGAAAUGUCACGGGAGGAAAUGCCCGGGAUUUGACGGUACCCUCAGAGGAAGCACCGGCUAACUCUGUGCCAGCAGCCGCGGUAAUACAGAGGGUGCGAGCGUUGUUCGGAAUUACUGGGCGUAAAGCGCGCGCAGGCGGCUCUUUAAGUCUGUCGGUCAAAUGCCGGGGCUCAACCCCGUGCUCGCCGGAGAUACUGGAGAGCUGGAGACAUGUAGAGGCAAGCGGAAUUCCGGGUGUAGCGGUGGAAUGCGUAGAGAUCCGGAAGAACACCGGAGGCGAAGGCGGCUUGCUGGGCAUGGUCUGACGCUGAGGCGCGAAAGCGUGGGGAGCGAACAG
Molecule: ribosomal RNA, 429 nt
Filed under: uncultured bacterium
Lineage: Bacteria
Description: bacterial SSU rRNA
Rfam family: Bacterial small subunit ribosomal RNA
Source: RNAcentral